CAACUGUGUCUGGGAGCUGACGUGUCUUGGCUGAAGUCAGCAUUAAAGCUAAUUAUCUAGGUCACUGCAGGGAGAACAGCUGCAGCCCUCACUCAGCCAGGCAGCUCUUGAGGCUGGGCAGAUGCACCGUUCUUGAUACUUCAAUUAAUGGAUCAUCUGAGAACAAAACUCCUUUUGAAAAGAGUUGGCAUGAGCUUUAAGAGAAAUGCUUCACGUAUGAUGCCAAGUGGAAAAGAAACACAAGCAGUUAAUUCAGAAAAGCUUCUGGACAGAUUGAUUUUCCUUCACCCAGGACCCUCUCACUUCAACUGAUCAUUAUUUUCCUUUGACCAAACCUAGAAGAACUAGAUAUCAAGUAGAUUUGAUUGAUCACCUACUUAUAUUUUAAUGUGAAUGAGUUAAAAGUUGAACUAAAACCCCAUUUUAAUUUAAAAUCUUUAUUCUUAACUGUAGUUUGAUCAUUUUCUUCAGCAAGCAUGAGGUAUCUUCCUGGGAGCUGUUUAGGAAAAAAAUCUUCAACAGGGGAUUCCUCUAACAUGCCAGAUUCCUGGCUUUCAUGUUGUCUCAGUCCUCAAUCUGCUUGAAAACACUCCACCACACCACACUCACCUCUCCUAACCAAAUAGACCCUGCUUUCCUCCAUUAUGACCCUAGUGCUUGAGAUAAAUAUGUCCUUAUUAACACUUGGAAAGUAAUCCAGUGUCUGAAAGGAAAUCUGAGACAAUGAUGAUGAACACACAAAUUGGGAGUAUCUAAGAUAAUAAAACACUUUUUUUUUGUCCUAUCUGGACACUUGGCCUUCAGAGUCUACCUCAGAGGUACACCUGUAGUCCCUUAUCUCUCUGGUCUUGCCUGUCCUCCACUCCUACCCAUCCCUAGUCCCUUUUAGCCAUCUGCCCACUUGGGUAUCCUAAGUUCCCACUUGGUUUCACCCAAUUUCCUUCUCUUUUCAUCCAUUGUCUCCCUCUAAGGUGUCCCAUAGAAUUAGCAAGUCUAAAAGAAAAACAUUUCUUAGGCUAAUAUUUACUAUCCUGAAAGCAUAAUAGACUCCGUGUUGUGCUAACAACGUCCUUUUUUGUCCUUCUUACUUAAUGAAUCUCUCCAUGGAAGGAAAUGGCAAAAAUAAAAAAUAAAAAAAAAAUAAAUAAAAUAAAAAGAUACACACUUUCAUUUGUCCUUAUAUACUUGUAGUAAAACUGUAAACCAGCAUAUUUAGAAAAGCCUGUGCUUGGGGUGGGGGUGGGGCCUCUCCCAGGACCAGUGGGUCCUUCUAAUGUCCACCCAAAGAGGAGUGUGCCAGUGAGCCCACCCUUCCCUUGUCCUGUGAGCAGUAGCUCCAACAGGAGUCCAAGCCAUCCCUGAAGAAGAACAGUGGAAGUACCAACAUGCCUGCCAUUUGUCUCCUUUUCCUGAGAGUGAGGACUCCCCACUCUCAGUAUAGCCUUCCAGCAUGACCCUGUGUCCCACAAGCCCAAUCUCUGGACAAUUCUCAGUAGGUGGGUCACAGCAGUUGGCAGCACAUCUCCCAAAUUAUCUCCACGGGGCAAUCCCACGACAGCAGCAAGGGCUGGAAGGUGGUGACAAGGAGGGUCACCACCUAAAUUCAACAACUGUGUUGUUGCAUACCAUGAUUCUGCAGGCAGGCUUUUAGAAACAGAGUGGCUCCAGUGAAAACGAAGAGCUGAGACAGACAAACUAAUGGACAGCCAGAAGACCCUAGUCUCUGCAGACCCUGACAUCAUGGAGCAGGCAUUAGCCAAGUGUGGACUCAAACAGCUGCAGGAGGGAGGAGUGCGACUGCACUUCUCCUGAGCUUCUCUGCAUGAUUCCACCCAGGAGCACAUUUGGAUCCAUCAGGAGCCUCCUCUGUCCCCACCUGCCAUCAGACAUCAGAGACUCUUUUCCCUUGGACGUUUCCCCUGCCCUGCUCUUUGUCUUUUCUCCUAUGCUUCUGGGAUAGCAGAGAUAGUAUUUAAUAAAUUUGUUUCUCACAAAUUGUAUAAUGUUAUACAAAUGUUCCAAAUAUUUUUUUAAAAAAGCAGAUUAACAAAAAAAAGUAGACGACAAAGAAAGAAGGAGGCCUCAGGGUAAGGGCAGGAGCCCAGUAACCAUCCUGUCCAAGGCCUGGACUACUGUGUCUCCCUCUCCUGUUCAGUGUAGAUGGAGACUUGCUUACCUUGAGCCAGUGUGGAUGGGAAUUCAUUUUCCUUGAGCCAUUGUAGUUGGAAAUUCUCUCCCCUUGACCCAGUGUAGAUAAAGAUUCUCUCCUUGAGCCAGUAUAGACUUCUGCUUCCUUAAUUUAUUAUUUUAAAAUAAUAUUCAUCUUUGUUUCAUUUUUGAUAGGCAGUUAUUUUCAUUAUCUCAAUAUCCAAUUGUUUUAGUACCACUGAUUAAAUAAACUGUUUUC
This is a long non-coding RNA of Sciurus carolinensis (gray squirrel), 2407 nucleotides long. RefSeq lists it as uncharacterized. The transcript is spliced from 3 exons. The record is from RefSeq and is a predicted model, not a curated record. Lineage: Eukaryota; Metazoa; Chordata; Mammalia; Rodentia; Sciuridae.